RNAcentral lists this ribosomal RNA (299 nucleotides) under Protocruzia adhaerens. RNAcentral's name for it is "Protocruzia adherens partial Bacterial small subunit ribosomal RNA". It matches the Rfam family "Bacterial small subunit ribosomal RNA", at positions 1 to 332 of the family's 1533-position model. The record is from RNAcentral. Lineage: Eukaryota; Ciliophora; Spirotrichea.
UUGAGAGUUUGAUCCUGGCUCAGAACGAACGCUGGCGGCAGGCUUAACACAUGCAAGUCGAGCGCACUCUUCGGAGUGAGCGGCGGACGGGUUAGUAACGCGUGGGAACGUGCCCUUCUCUAAGGAAUAGCCACUGGAAACGGUGAGUAAUACCUUAUACGCCCUUCGGGGGAAAGAUUUAUCGGAGAAGGAUCGGCCCGCGUAAGAUUAGAUAGUUGGUGGGGUAACGGCCUACCAAGUCUACGAUCUUUAGCUGGUUUUAGAGGAUGAUCAGCAACACUGGGACUGAGACACGGCCC